Molecule: ribosomal RNA, 498 nt
Filed under: uncultured bacterium
Lineage: Bacteria
Description: partial 16S ribosomal RNA
Rfam family: Bacterial small subunit ribosomal RNA
Source: RNAcentral
AUUGAACGCUGGCGGCAUGCCUUACACAUGCAAGUCGAACGGUAACAGUUCUUCGGAUGCUGACGAGUGGCGAACGGGUGAAUAAUACAUCGGAACUUGCCUAGUGGGGGGUGACAACUACUCGAAAGAGGGGCUACUACGGCAGGAGAUGUACGGAUGAAACCAGGGCAUCGCAAGACCUUGCGCUACUUGAGCGCCCGAUGGCAGAUUAGGUGGUUGGUGGGAUAAAACCUUACCAAGCCGACGACCUGUAGCUGGUCUGAGAGGACGAUCAGCCACACUGGGACUGAGACACGGCCCAGACUCCUACGGGAGGCAGCAGUGGGGAAUUUUGGACAAUGGGCGCAAGCCUGAUCCAGCAAUGCCGCGUGCAGGAUGAAGGCCUUCGGGUUGUAAACUGCUUUUGUACGGAACGAAAAGCCCCGGGUUAAUACCCUGGGGUCAUGACGGUACCGUAAGAAUAAGCACCGGCUAACUACGUGCCAGCCGCCGCGGUAA